This 450-nucleotide ribosomal RNA is filed under the name uncultured bacterium. RNAcentral describes it as "partial 16S ribosomal RNA". It matches the Rfam family "Bacterial small subunit ribosomal RNA", at positions 354 to 796 of the family's 1533-position model. The record is from RNAcentral.
GUGGGGAAUAUUGGGCAAUGGGCGCAAGCCUGAUCCAGCAAUGCCGCGUGCAGGAAGAAGGCCUUCGGGUUGUAAACUGCUUUUGUACGGAACGAAACGGUCCUGGUUAAUACCUGGGGCUAAUGACGGUACCGUAAGAAUAAGCACCGGCUAACUACGUGCCAGCAGCCGCGGUAAUACGUAGGGUGCAAGCGUUAAUCGGAAUUACUGGGCGUAAAGCGUGCGCAGGCGGUUUUGUAAGACAGACGUGAAAUCCCCGGGCUCAACCUGGGAAUGGCGUUUGUGACUGCAAAGCUGGAGUGCGGCAGAGGGGGAUGGAAUUCCGCGUGUAGCAGUGAAAUGCGUAGAUAUGCGGAGGAACACCGAUGGCGAAGGCAAUCCCCUGGGCCUGCACUGACGCUCAUGCACGAAAGCGUGGGGAGCAAACAGGAUUAGAAACCCGAGUAGUCC